UACAGAGGGGGCAAGCGUUGUUCGGAAUUACUGGGCGUAAAGGGCGCGUAGGCGGCCUUCUAAGUCGAACGUGAAAUCCCCGGGCUCAACCCGGGAACUGCGUCCGAUACUGGAAGGCUUGAAUCCGGGAGAGGGAUGCGGAAUUCCAGGUGUAGCGGUGAAAUGCGUAGAUAUUGGGAGGAACACCAGUGGCGAAGGCGGCUCACUGGACCGGUACUGACGCUGAUGCGCGAAAGCGUGGGGAGCAAACAGG
RNAcentral lists this ribosomal RNA (253 nucleotides) under uncultured bacterium. RNAcentral describes it as "partial 16S ribosomal RNA". It matches the Rfam family "Bacterial small subunit ribosomal RNA", at positions 524 to 776 of the family's 1533-position model. The record is from RNAcentral.